AGAUUGUGAGCUUGUAAAGCAUAUACCUUGAAAGUAUAAGAAAGGACUGGAAACUCCUACUGUCUU
This 66-nucleotide transfer RNA is filed under the name Trigonopterus jasminae. RNAcentral describes it as "tRNA-Ser". Lineage: Eukaryota; Metazoa; Arthropoda; Insecta; Coleoptera; Curculionidae. The record is from RNAcentral.